AUCCACGAUGGCCGAGACUAGGCAUCGAGCUUUUAACUCGAUCACAGUUAUUAAUAACUUCAGGAUA
RNAcentral lists this transfer RNA (67 nucleotides) under Lamprotula coreana. RNAcentral's name for it is "tRNA-Lys". The record is from RNAcentral. Lineage: Eukaryota; Metazoa; Mollusca; Bivalvia; Unionida; Unionidae.